RNAcentral lists this transfer RNA (82 nucleotides) under Echinostoma caproni. It matches the Rfam family "tRNA". From Rfam's summary of the family: Transfer RNA (tRNA) molecules are approximately 80 nucleotides in length. Their secondary structure includes four short double-helical elements and three loops (D, anti-codon, and T loops). Lineage: Eukaryota; Metazoa; Platyhelminthes; Trematoda; Plagiorchiida; Echinostomatidae. The record is from Rfam by way of RNAcentral.
GGCCUCGUAGCUCAGCUGGUAGAGCAUACGCGUACAAAGCGUAGGCGGCGUCCAUGCGUGGGUUCGAAUCCCACUGAGGCUA